AAUCCGGUUGAUCCUGCCGGACUCGACCGUUAUCAGAGUGAGAUUAAGCCAUGCAAGUCGUAUAUCACCAGUUGCGGUGGUAUGGCGUACGGCUCAGUAGUAUAUAGUUAACUCACCCUAAGGAUGUGGAUAAUCCCGGGAAACUGGGGCUAAUCCGCAAUUGGUAUUAAUAUCUGGAAUGAUAUAAUGCUAAAAUGAGCAUAUAGGCUCACUUUAUAUGCUCGCCUUAGGACAGGACUAUACCCGAUCAGGUAGUUGGCGGGGUAAUGGCCCACCAAGCCGGUGACCGGUACGGGCUCUGAGAGGAGGAGCCCGGAGAUGGGCACUGAGACAAGGGCCCAGGCCCUAUGGGGCGCAGCAGGCGCGAAACCUUCACAAUGCGCGCAAGCGUGAUGAGGUUACUCUGAGUGUCGUCCGCUGAGGACGUCUUUUGUCGGGCCUAAAAAGCCUGAAGAAUAAGGGGAGGGCAAGACUGGUGUCAGCCGCCGCGGUAAUACCAGCUCCCCGAAUGGUCGAGACGAUUAUUGGGCCUAAAGCAUCCGUAGCCGGCCCUGUGGAUGAUCCGUCAAAUCCAACGACUCAAUCGUUGAACAGCGGAUUAUAUCGCAGGGCUAGGGGGCGGGAGAGGUGAGGAGUACUCCACGGGUAGGGGUAAAAUCCGCUGAUCCGUUGAAGACUAACAGUGGCGAAGGCGCCUCGCCAGAACGCGCUCGACGGUGAGGGAUGAAAGCUAGGGGAGCAAACCGGAUUAGAUACCCGGGUAGUCCUAGCCGUAAACGAUGCUUGCUAGGUGCUGGAAGGGCUAAGUGCUUUUCCAGUGCCGCAGGGAAGCCGUUAAGCAAGCCGCCUGGGGAGUACGGUCGCAAGGUUGAAACUUAAAGGAAUUGGCGGGGGAGCACCACAAGGGGUGAAGCCUGCGGUUCAAUUGGAGUCAACGCCCGGAACCUUACCAGGGGUGACAGCAGUUUGAUGGUCAAGCUAAAGACUUUACCUGACAAGCUGAGAGGAGGUGCAUGGCCGUCGCCAGCUCGUGCUGUGAAGUGUCCUGUUAAGUCAGGCAACGAGCGAGACCCCUGCUAUUAAUUGCUACGCGCUUCCGUAAGGUAGCGUAAGGUAAUUAAUGGGACUGCCGUCGCUAAGACGGAGGAAGGAGGGGGCUACGGCAGGUCAGUAUGCCCCGAAACCCCUGGGCCACACGCGGGCUGCAAUGGUAGGGACAAUGAGAUCCAAGCUCGAAAGAGUGUGGUAAUCUCCAAACCCUAUCUCAGUUGGAAUUGAGGGCUGCAACCCGCCCUCAUGAACAUGGAAUCCCUAGUAAUCGCACGUCACCAGCGUGCGGUGAAUACGUCCCCGCUCCUUGCACACACCGCCCGUCGCUCCAUCCGAGUUGGCUUUUGGCGAGGUGGUAUCAUAUUGGUAUUAUCGAACCAGUUGUCGAUAAGGGGGGAGAAGUCGUAACAAGGUGGCCGUACGGGAACGUGCGGCCGGAUCACCUCCA
RNAcentral lists this ribosomal RNA (1498 nucleotides) under Nitrososphaerota archaeon. RNAcentral's name for it is "bacterial SSU rRNA". It matches the Rfam family "Archaeal small subunit ribosomal RNA". The record is from RNAcentral. Lineage: Archaea; Thermoproteati; Nitrososphaerota.